Molecule: long non-coding RNA, 2266 nt
Filed under: Apis florea (little honeybee)
Lineage: Eukaryota; Metazoa; Arthropoda; Insecta; Hymenoptera; Apidae
Description: uncharacterized LOC116414904
Source: RNAcentral
AACGCGAGACGACCGAGAUAAACAUGGGAGAAAAACAAGAGAAACGAGGAGGAGGGGGGCGAGGAGGCGUGUUAUUUGGCGGCGGAAGGGAGGAAUUUUCAUCGUUAUUCCAGUCCUCGUCCUUUCGCUAUUUGUCAUCAUAGUUUUAUCUCGGUCUUUACUGCCCCCUCCUGCCUUGUGCCGUGUCGUUUCGCAAAUAAUGCAGCCCUCUCCCCUUUUUUUUACGAGUUCGCAGUAAAAAUAUACGAUUCUCCGUUGUCGAUCGAUCUUCGCAGGGCGUGCACAGGACGACGGUUACAAUAACCGUCUGUCGAGAAAUAAAUGGAAUGAAUUUAAAAAUAAUAAGAGGAUAAUAUUAAUUUAGGAUAUUUAAAUGGAACAAUUUCUCUUUCUGUAUCAAAGAAUUCUGGCAACGUGUGGAUGACAGAAAGUGUUUAAUGUAAUUAAAUAAUUAUUAUAUCGUUAAAUAUAUGGAAACGAAGAUCGAUAUGAAUUUAAGAAGAAUUUUUUUAAAAGUUCACUACUCGCCCUUUAAUAUUAGAUCUCCGCUUUAUCCAACCGAUUGUGAAGAGAAUUUAUCGUGUUUGGCUUAGUCGACUAUAAUUUAAAUUUAGUAUCGGCUGAUUUAUGAAUCUGGAGGAAAUAAACGGAGUUUGUGGCUCGAGAAAGCGUGUACGGGUCGAAUGAUUAAAAAGGCAGUUGAGGAAAAUUAAUGUAUCGUUUUGCCGCGCAUUAAAGAAGGCAGAUCGGAAGGGAAAAAGUGUUAUCGAAUAAAUUUCUUAACUCGAUUUAUUUCAUUCGUACGAAUAGGAUUUUUUGCUUCUCCAAUUAAAAAUAUUCCUCCUGAAAACCAAUUCUCCACCAACGAUGAAAACCAUCCAUCUCCUAUUUAUGAUCGUGUCUCGCGAACACGCAGAAAAACUUUGGCCACGGUAUAAAAGCUUCUGUACGAAUGACGGUGCGGUCAGUCGUAUCCGCGUAACUUCUCCAACGUUAUCUAAUCGAUUCUCCGACCAAAUGUUUCAUUAAAUCUCGAUUAUUUUUUCUCUUCUUUUUUCUUAUUAAAAAAUAUCUCGGGCAAAAUUUGAACAGUUUCGAUUCAAUUAUGCCGUAUAUAUAAUUAUUUUCUUCAUAAGUAACGACACGAAAAAGAUCAACUUUCCUUCUUUAAAUAGAAUAACGUACGUUAUUAAUUCCUUCUUUUUUCCACACGAUCGAAGAAAACAGGCUUUGCUCGCGGAUCGAUCAAUCCCUCGAUAUUCUUGUCACGAUCCCCGCCUGGCAUCCCAACCACUUUAUUACCGUCAGAGAAAGUUUUAACCGGAAAUCUUGAAUAAAUAAACGUUGAACGGAACUUCAUCCUCGUUCCCUUAUUAAAUUCUCAAUCGCUUUAUCCCUUCGUUGCCAUAAAUGAUUCUAUAUAUCGUAUUCGUGCUAUAUUAAAAAUUACAGUAACUCGAUCGUACGUGGAGAAUUCGUAACGAAGAUAAGUGCGAUCGAAAUGACUGAACGUUUUUAUCGCUUCGCAGCCAUAAAUGACUGCUACUAUUAUGCGCUACGUUCAAAAACAAGCGAUUCGAUACGAAUAUGGAGAAUUCGUUGUGCAGUAAAGGACUCGUUCAUUGCCUGGCCGCUCCAGUCGGGGCAGUUGAACGUGAAUCGACGCCAUGGAAACGAAUCUUGCGCAACGUUCCGGGUCAACAGCUCGCUUCGCCUAAAAUUGGACCUGAAGAUGAUGACUCGUCUCCUCGAUGAGGGAUGGCUGUGAGAACUCGCUAAUUGGUCGGGCUCUAAGGGAUCAUAAUUGGCGCUAAUUUUUUCGAGGUGUAAUGUCAUUUCAUUUUAUUGGAAAGAUUUGUAAGAUUUAUCGAUCUGUGCGUAUAACGUUAUUGACAAUGAUGAAAAAUGAUGAUGUUGAAUUAUUGGCAGGUAUUUGUUUAUUUUUAUAUUGGAUAGUCGGUAUAUCUAUUUUUUUUUGCACACAAGUGCAAUAAAAUAGCGUCGAGACAAAUUCAAUGACCUGCUAUGACUCGGAACAACAGGAAGUUGUAAAUUGGCCAAGUCUUCAAAUGUCAGGUUGAAUAGUGAAUUAUAUCCACUGUAGGAUAUUAUUCUAUCUACACGAAACGCGAAAUAUUUCGGUUAAAAUUUUUCCUCAUUUAUUUACUACUUCGAUACAAACUCGUGACUUUGAAUAAAUGAUAUUCAUUUGCAGUUCGAAUGUAAUGGAACGUAAUGAACGAGACAAAAAAGUUCAAAAAUAUUU